GACAGAGGAGACAAGCGUUGUUCGGAAUUACUGGGCUUAAAGCGCGCGUAGGCGGCCAAGUAAGUGUCCCGUGAAAUCCCAUGGCUCAACCAUGGAAAUGCGGGGCAUACUGCUUGGCUUGAGGUCGGUAGGGGUGCCUGGAACUCUAGGUGGAGCGGUGAAAUGCGUAGAUAUCUAGAGGAACGCCUGCAGCGAAAGCGGGGCACUGGGCCGAUUCUGACGCUGAGGCGCGAAAGCGUGGGGAGCAAACAGG
Molecule: ribosomal RNA, 253 nt
Filed under: uncultured bacterium
Lineage: Bacteria
Description: partial 16S ribosomal RNA
Rfam family: Bacterial small subunit ribosomal RNA
Source: RNAcentral